UUGUUGUUGUUUGCCCGUGCUGAGCAGCGGGAGCAGUGAGGGGAGAAGCCGUUAGCUGAAUCCAGAUCAGGGAAUCCCAAACAGCGUUUCUUAGUCUGUUCAUCAGAGAUGGAGCGACACCGGGAACACACGGAGGAGACCAAGCUGCGGGGAGAAGGGCCUUCCUAUAGGUUUUGAGACUUUCUUGCCAUUCCAAACGGGAUUCUUCCACUUUGGUGGAGCGCCACUUACUUUCGAGGUUUCGUGAGAUUUCGUGAGAAGAGACAUUCCACGGAGCAAACCCAACACAAGCUUUACCUCCAGAUGUUCUUAAAGUGGUUGUUGGUGAAGAGGAGCAGCAGGAGUGUAGCUCCAAUGUGGACCAGCAUGAGCCAGAGCCCCCCCCACACAUUAAAG
Molecule: long non-coding RNA, 396 nt
Organism: Perca flavescens (yellow perch)
Lineage: Eukaryota; Metazoa; Chordata; Actinopteri; Perciformes; Percidae
Exons: 3
Source: RefSeq, a predicted model, not a curated record